GGCGACUUCGACUUCAAAAUCCCGAGUCCGAUAGCUGGAGAACCAAAAUCUAUAAAAAAAGAGAAUCAAGGAGACGGAGUAAGCAAUUUAUGCUUAGUAAGUUUUGAGCAAGGGAUUCCAGCAUAACAAAAGUAUAGCAUUCAUGUAGCUAAACGGAUAAUUUCAUAUGCACAAUUUUUCAAUAUCAUACUUACUUCACAUUACCAACCCUUUUAUUCAUACACAAAGAUCAACUUAGCCAAAGGCCGAUAGCUCAUUUAUCAACUGAGCGAAUACUUAUUU
RNAcentral lists this long non-coding RNA (282 nucleotides) under Gossypium barbadense (sea-island cotton). RNAcentral describes it as "long non-coding RNA (GBAR_LNC007445)". Lineage: Eukaryota; Viridiplantae; Streptophyta; Magnoliopsida; Malvales; Malvaceae. The record is from RNAcentral.